Bufo gargarizans (Asiatic toad) is the source of this 395-nucleotide long non-coding RNA. RefSeq lists it as uncharacterized. Lineage: Eukaryota; Metazoa; Chordata; Amphibia; Anura; Bufonidae. The transcript is spliced from 3 exons. The record is from RefSeq and is a predicted model, not a curated record.
CACCGCUGCUGCUGAAGUGCCAGGGACAGCAUAGGAAUGGAGCCAUCACCAUGUGCCCAGGUGAUGUGACAAGGGGCGUCUUAUGGGCAGGAGCGUCUUAUAGGGUGAAAAAUACAGAGUGGGAUGUCUUACUUCCUGUUCUGAGGAGGAGUUCCUGUCCUGGAACAGAGGGGAGAAGAAACACUAGUCAGAACUCCUGCUUCUGUUACAGAUUCUCCAGGGAGAACUACUCAAAUUUUCCUCAACUAAAUUCUUGAGACGCUAGACAGCACAGUAAACUGCUACCACCAGCCAUGAAGACACUGCGGCAAGGUGAGGGAUUACAGCCAAGACAUCUAUAACCAGACUACUAUUAGUCCAGUAUAACCUAAGUGCUAAACCUGCCUCCAUAUCCA